RNAcentral lists this ribosomal RNA (681 nucleotides) under uncultured bacterium. RNAcentral describes it as "bacterial SSU rRNA". It matches the Rfam family "Bacterial small subunit ribosomal RNA", at positions 335 to 1009 of the family's 1533-position model. The record is from RNAcentral.
UUUCCUACGGGAGGCAGCAGUGGGGAAUUUUGGACAAUGGGCGCAAGCCUGAUCCAGCCAUGCCGCGUGGGUGAAGAAGGCCUUCGGGUUGUAAAGCCCUUUCGGCUGGGACGAAAAGGUCCGCGCUAACACCGCGGAUCCAUGACGGUACCAGCAGAAGAAGCACCGGCUAACUACGUGCCAGCAGCCGCGGUAAUACGUAGGGUGCAGGCGUUAAUCGGAAUUACUGGGCGUAAAGCGUGCGCAGGCGGUCUAUUAAGACAGGUGUGAAAUCCCCGGGCUUAACCUGGGAACUGCGCUUGUAACUGAUAGGCUUGAGUGUGGCAGAGGGGGGUGGAAUUCCACGUGUAGCAGUGAAAUGCGUAGAGAUGUGGAGGAACACCGAUGGCGAAGGCAGCCCCCUGGGCUAACACUGACGCUCAUGCACGAAAGCGUGGGGAGCAAACAGGAUUAGAUACCCUGGUAGUCCACGCCCUAAACUAUGUCAACUGGUUGUCGGGGAAGCAAUUCCUUGGUAACGAAGCUAACGCGUGAAGUUGACCGCCUGGGGAGUACGGCCGCAAGGUUAAAACUCAAAGGAAUUGACGGGGACCCGCACAAGCGGUGGAUUAUGUGGAUUAAUUCGAUGCAACGAGUAAACCUUACCUACCCUUGACAUGCCAGGAACCUCGCUAGAGAUGU